GUAUUAUUUUAAUUUUAGUUUCUUGUGUACAAUUUGGAAAUUAGUAUGGCGUUCAUUAUCACUGAACUAGUAUAUAUUUGUUUAGGGGCCAGCUGAAGGACGACUCCGGGUGCGGGAAUUUCUCGCUACAUUGAAGACCUGUUGGUGACCUUCUGCUGUUGUUUUUUUCUAUGGUCGGGUUGUUGUCUCUUUGGCACAUUCCCCAUUUCCAUUCUCAAUUUAU
This 223-nucleotide long non-coding RNA is filed under the name Mytilus galloprovincialis (Mediterranean mussel). The record is from RNAcentral. Lineage: Eukaryota; Metazoa; Mollusca; Bivalvia; Mytilida; Mytilidae.